RNAcentral lists this ribosomal RNA (253 nucleotides) under uncultured bacterium. Its description in RNAcentral is "partial 16S ribosomal RNA". It matches the Rfam family "Bacterial small subunit ribosomal RNA", at positions 524 to 776 of the family's 1533-position model. The record is from RNAcentral.
UACGUAGGAUGCAAGCGUUGUCCGGAAUUAUUGGGCGUAAAGAGCGCGCAGGCGGUAAGUCAAGUCAGAUGUGAAAUAUCCGGGCUUAACCCGGAGGGGUCAUUUGAAACUGAGUAACUAGAGUACAGCAGAGGAUAGCGGAAUUCCCGGUGUAGUGGUGAAAUGCGUAGAUAUCGGGAGGAACACCAGUGGCGAAGGCGGCUAUCUGGGCUGAAACUGACGCUGAGGCGCGAAGGCUAGGGGAGCAAACAGG